UAGGGAAUCUUCCGCAAUGGACGCAAGUCUGACGGAGCAACGCCGCGUGAGUGAAGAAGGAUUUCGGUUCGUAAAACUCUGUUGUUAGGGAAGAAAAAAUGUAUAGUAACUAUAUACAAAAGAGACGGUACCUAACCAGAAAGCCACGGCUAACUACGUGCCAGCAGCCGCGGUAAUACGUAGGUGGCAAGCGUUGUCCGGAAUUAUUGGGCGUAAAGCGCGCGCAGGUGGUUUAGAAAGUCUGAUGUGAAAGCCCACGGCUCAACCGUGGAGGGUCAUUGGAAACUAAUAAACUUGAGUGCAGGAGAGAAAAGUGGAAUUCCUAGUGUAGCGGUGAAAUGCGUAGAGAUUAGGAGGAACACCGGUGGCGAAAGCGGCUUUUUGGCCUGCAACUGACACUGAGGCGCGAAAGCGUGGGGAGCAAACAGG
Molecule: ribosomal RNA, 429 nt
Filed under: Verrucomicrobiota bacterium
Lineage: Bacteria; Pseudomonadati; Verrucomicrobiota
Also listed under: 1 other name
Description: Verrucomicrobia bacterium partial 16S ribosomal RNA
Rfam family: Bacterial small subunit ribosomal RNA
Source: RNAcentral